GCCGGGCAUGGUGGCUCAUGCCUGUAAUCCCAGCACUUUGGGAGGCUGAGGCAGGAGGAUCUCUUGAGGCCAGGAGUUCUAAACCAGCCUGGUCAACAUAGUGAGACCCCAUCUCUA
Unclassified non-coding RNA from Macaca fascicularis (crab-eating macaque), 117 nucleotides. It matches the Rfam family "Metazoan signal recognition particle RNA". From Rfam's summary of the family: The signal recognition particle (SRP) is a universally conserved ribonucleoprotein. Lineage: Eukaryota; Metazoa; Chordata; Mammalia; Primates; Cercopithecidae. The record is from Ensembl.